Non-coding RNA from Pelobates cultripes (western spadefoot toad), 393 nucleotides. Lineage: Eukaryota; Metazoa; Chordata; Amphibia; Anura; Pelobatidae. The record is from the annotation of a GenBank genome assembly.
GCUACUUUUAAUUUUGCUGGCUUCAAAAUGAUUCUUACAACAAAUAUGACAAACCUACUUUAAUUAAUACUCCAUGUGUGCAAGAUUGAGAUAUAAGGACACCUAGUGGCCACAAUGCCAAAUAUAUGUUUAAAUAUAGGUCCUUGUUAUUUUACUUCUCAUCUUCACUCUGGUGGUGGUAGUGUUUCAGUAAUAGACACUGGUGGAGGUGGAGGUGUUUCAUCAUCAAAUAACGUUGCUCUCAUUGGCCUGAACACUUCAACUGGUGGUGGUGGAAAUGCUUCUACAUCUGCAUAUCUUUCUCCCUUCUUGAACCCUUCAUGUCUCUUUUUGCAAUAAAGAAUUCUGUGUGAAGAAGGAGAUUUAAACAACCUAAGUAUUUUUUCAUUUUAG